This 460-nucleotide ribosomal RNA is filed under the name uncultured bacterium. RNAcentral describes it as "partial 16S ribosomal RNA". It matches the Rfam family "Bacterial small subunit ribosomal RNA", at positions 338 to 795 of the family's 1533-position model. The record is from RNAcentral.
CCUACGGGUGGCAGCAGUGAGGAAUAUUGGUCAAUGGGCGUAAGCCUGAACCAGCCAAGUCGCGUGAAGGAUGAAGGUUCUAUGGAUUGUAAACUUCUUUUAUAAGGGAAUAAAGUGCGGGACGUGUCCCGUUUUGUAUGUACCUUAUGAAUAAGGAUCGGCUAACUCCGUGCCAGCAGCCGCGGUAAUACGGAGGAUCCGAGCGUUAUCCGGAUUUAUUGGGUUUAAAGGGUGCGUAGGCGGCUUGUUAAGUCAGCGGUGAAAGGCUGUGGCUCAACCAUAGAAUUGCCGUUGAAACUGGGAGGCUUGAGUGUGUUUGAGGCAGGCGGAAUGCGUGGUGUAGCGGUGAAAUGCUUAGAUAUCACGCAGAACCCCGAUUGCGAAGGCAGCCUACCAAGCCAUUACUGACGCUGAUGCACGAAAGCGUGGGUAUCAAACAGGAUUAGAUACCCGUGUAGUC